UACGAAGGGGGCUAGCGUUGUUCGGAAUCACUGGGCGUAAAGCGCACGUAGGCGGAUCGUUAAGUCAGGGGUGAAAUCCCGAGGCUCAACCUCGGAACUGCCUUUGAUACUGGGGAUCUCGAGUCCGGGAGAGGUGAGUGGAACUGCGAGUGUAGAGGUGAAAUUCGUAGAUAUUCGCAAGAACACCAGUGGCGAAGGCGGCGCACUGGUCCGGUUCUGACGCUGAGGCGCGAAAGCGUGGGGAGCAAACAGG
RNAcentral lists this ribosomal RNA (253 nucleotides) under uncultured bacterium. RNAcentral's name for it is "partial 16S ribosomal RNA". It matches the Rfam family "Bacterial small subunit ribosomal RNA", at positions 524 to 776 of the family's 1533-position model. The record is from RNAcentral.